RNAcentral lists this ribosomal RNA (428 nucleotides) under uncultured bacterium. RNAcentral describes it as "bacterial SSU rRNA". It matches the Rfam family "Bacterial small subunit ribosomal RNA", at positions 354 to 796 of the family's 1533-position model. The record is from RNAcentral.
GCAAGGAAUUUUCCGCAAUGGGCGAAAGCCUGACGGAGCAACGCCGCGUGCGGGAGGACGCCUUUCGGGGUGUAAACCGCUUUUCUUGGGGACGAACACAAUGACGGUACCCGAGGAAUAAGGACCGGCUAACUACGUGCCAGCAGCCGCGGUAAUACGUAGGGUCCAAGCGUUGUCCGGAGUUACUGGGCGUAAAGCGCGCGCAGGCGGCGAAGUGGGUCCGGCGUGAAAGCCCCCGGCUCAACUGGGGAGAGUCGUCGGGGACCGCUUCGCUUGAGGCUGGCAGGGGCUGGUGGAAUGCCCGGUGUAGUGGUGAAAUGCGUAGAUAUCGGGCGGAACACCCGUGGCGAAGGCGGCCAGCUGGGCCAGAUCUGACGCUGAGGCGCGAAGGCGUGGGGAGCGAACGGGAUUAGAAACCCGAGUAGUCC